Molecule: ribosomal RNA, 492 nt
Filed under: uncultured bacterium
Lineage: Bacteria
Description: partial 16S ribosomal RNA
Rfam family: Bacterial small subunit ribosomal RNA
Source: RNAcentral
AGUGAACGCUGGCGGUAGGCCUAACACAUGCAAGUCGAACGGCAGCACAGUAAGAGCUUGCUCUUACGGGUGGCGAGUGGCGGACGGGUGAGGAAUACAUCGGCAUCUACUUUUUCGUGGGGGAUAACGUAGGGAAACUUACGCUAAUACCGCAUACGACCUACGGGUGAAAGCAGGGGAUCUUCGGACCUUGCGCGAUUGAAUGAGCCGAUGUCGGAUUAGCUAGUUGGCGUGGUAAAGGCCCACCAAGGCGACGAUCCGUAGCUGGUCUGAGAGGAUGAUCAGCCACACUGGAACUGAGACACGGUCCAGACUCCUACGGGAGGCAGCAGUGGGGAAUAUUGGACAAUGGGCGCAAGCCUGAUCCAGCCAUACCGCGUGGGUGAAGAAGGCCUUCGGGUUGUAAAGCCCUUUUGUUGGGAAAGAAAAGCAGCAGGUUAAUACCCCGCUGUUCUGACGGUACCCAAAGAAUAAGCACCGGCUAACUUCGUG